Non-coding RNA from Nicotiana sylvestris (wood tobacco), 73 nucleotides. The record is from Rfam. NCBI's taxonomy places the organism in Eukaryota, Viridiplantae, Streptophyta, Magnoliopsida, Solanales, Solanaceae.
GCGCUUGUAGCUUAGUGGUUAGGGUGCCUGUUUCCUAAGCUGAAGGUUGCAGGUUCGACCCUCACCUGGCGCG